UACGGAGGGUGCAAGCGUUGCUCGGAAUUACUGGGCGUAAAGCGCGUGUAGGCGGUCUCGUGUGUCUGGCGUGAAAGCCCCGGGCUCACCCCGGGAAGUGCGUUGGAAACUGCGAGACUAGAGUUCCGGAGAGGAAGGUGGAAUUCCAGGUGUAGCGGUGAAAUGCGUAGAUAUCUGGAAGAACACCGGUGGCGAAGGCGGCGUUCUGGACGGUGACUGACGCUGAGACGCGAGAGCGUGGGGAGCAAACAGG
Molecule: ribosomal RNA, 253 nt
Filed under: uncultured bacterium
Lineage: Bacteria
Description: partial 16S ribosomal RNA
Rfam family: Bacterial small subunit ribosomal RNA
Source: RNAcentral